GUACCUCCUUGAUGCUUCCCGGCGUCGUGCACAGCAUGUAGACGACGUAGCCAGGGAUGAGCACCAUGGAGGACAAGGCCAUGGUCCAGCCGAUGGUUUGGCCCCACACAGGGUACACGUACUGGCCCAGAGUCAGGGGCGUCAUCUCCACAGCACUGAAGUCAUGCAAUGACGAGAGGAGGAACAGCCUACCUACAAGAUGUCCACCUCAUCAACUUCCCUGCCACAACUUGAUCCAAAAGGGCCAAAAGUAUUGGGAUGCAUCAAUAUUGAGCUGACACCUCCUUUGCAGCUAUAAUCAGU
This is a long non-coding RNA of Phycodurus eques (leafy seadragon), 303 nucleotides long. RefSeq lists it as uncharacterized. Lineage: Eukaryota; Metazoa; Chordata; Actinopteri; Syngnathiformes; Syngnathidae. The record is from RefSeq and is a predicted model, not a curated record. The transcript is spliced from 3 exons.